UGGGGAAUAUUGCGCAAUGGGGGCAACCCUGACGCAGCCAUGCCGCGUGAAUGAGGAAGGCCUUCGGGUUGUAAAGUUCUUUCGGUAUUGAGGAAGGUUGAUGUGUUAAUAGCACAUCAAAUUGACGUUAAAUACAGAAGAAGCACCGGCUAACUCCGUGCCAGCAGCCGCGGUAAUACGGAGGGUGCGAGCGUUAAUCGGAAUAACUGGGCGUAAAGGGCACGCAGGCGGUUAUUUAAGUGAGGUGUGAAAGCCCCGGGCUUAACCUGGGAAUUGCAUUUCAGACUGGGUAACUAGAGUACUUUAGGGAGGGGUAGAAUUCCACGUGUAGCGGUGAAAUGCGUAGAGAUGUGGAGGAAUACCGAAGGCGAAGGCAGCCCCUUGGGAAUGUACUGACGCUCAUGUGCGAAAGCGUGGGGAGCAAACAGGAUUAGAUACCCUGGUAGUCCACGCUGUAAACGCUGUCGAUUUGGGGGUUGGGGUUUAACUCUGGCGCCCGUAGCUAACGUGAUAAAUCGACCGCCUGGGGAGUACGGCCGCAAGGUUA
RNAcentral lists this ribosomal RNA (547 nucleotides) under uncultured bacterium. Its description in RNAcentral is "bacterial SSU rRNA". It matches the Rfam family "Bacterial small subunit ribosomal RNA", at positions 355 to 896 of the family's 1533-position model. The record is from RNAcentral.